This 72-nucleotide transfer RNA is filed under the name Camelus bactrianus (Bactrian camel). It matches the Rfam family "tRNA". From Rfam's summary of the family: Transfer RNA (tRNA) molecules are approximately 80 nucleotides in length. Their secondary structure includes four short double-helical elements and three loops (D, anti-codon, and T loops). The record is from Rfam by way of RNAcentral. Lineage: Eukaryota; Metazoa; Chordata; Mammalia; Artiodactyla; Camelidae. RNAcentral also lists the same sequence under 2 other names.
GGUUCCAGGGCGUCUUGGUGAGCACUCUGGACUCUGAAUCCAGACAUCCGAGGUCGAGUCUUGGUGGGACCU